GACAGAGGGUGCAAACGUUGCUCGGAAUCACUGGGCGUAAAGGGCGUGUAGGCGGGUAGAUAAGUCGGGCGUGAAAUCCCUAGGCUCAACCUAGGAACUGCACUCGAAACUGUUUAUCUUGAGUGCCGGAGAGGAAAGCGGAAUUCCUGGUGUAGAGGUGAAAUUUGUAGAUAUCGAGGAGGAACACCAGUGGCGGAAGGCGGCUCGCUGGGACGUUACUGA
RNAcentral lists this ribosomal RNA (222 nucleotides) under uncultured bacterium. RNAcentral describes it as "partial 16S ribosomal RNA". It matches the Rfam family "Bacterial small subunit ribosomal RNA", at positions 524 to 743 of the family's 1533-position model. The record is from RNAcentral.